UGGGGAAUCUUGCGCAAUGGGCGAAAGCCUGACGCAGCCAUGCCACGUGGAUGAUGAAGGUCUUAGGAUUGUAAAAUCCUUUCACCGGUGAAGAUAAUGACUGUAGCCGGAGAAGAAGCCCCGGCUAACUUCGUGCCAGCAGCCGCGGUAAUACGAAGGGGGCUAGCGUUGCUCGGAUUUACUGGGCGUAAAGGGCGCGUAGGCGGACAUUUAAGUCAGGGGUGAAAUCCCGGGGCUCAACCUCGGAACUGCCUUUGAUACUGGGUGUCUUGAGUAUGAGAGAGGUGUGUGGAACUCCGAGUGUAGAGGUGAAAUUCGUAGAUAUUCGGAAGAACACCAGUGGCGAAGGCGACACACUGGCUCAUUACUGACGCUGAGGCGCGAAAGCGUGGGGAGCAAACA
This 402-nucleotide ribosomal RNA is filed under the name uncultured bacterium. RNAcentral's name for it is "bacterial SSU rRNA". It matches the Rfam family "Bacterial small subunit ribosomal RNA", at positions 355 to 774 of the family's 1533-position model. The record is from RNAcentral.